CUCCAACAACUCAUCUCCAGGAAACACUUCAUUGACUGGUCCACCUGGAAACAAGUAGUAGACUUAAUAGUUAUGGAGGAACUUGGAAUGAGACUCUGCUGAAAGGUGCAGGAGGGAUGCCAAUAGCAAGAAGGUGUGAGUGAGGGGUUUGUCUCCUGAGCUGGAUCCCACCCCUCCUUCCAGACUGAAGCCAAGAUCAGAGCUGGACUUGUUCAGAAUCACACGGACUCUGCUGCCUGUAGGGGGCAUACACACACAAAGUAUCAGCAUCAGAUUGCACAGGAGACUCUAUCUCACCUGUAUAGAGGUGGACUCCUUUCUGCUGUUAACGCUCUGAAGAACAACCACCGCCAUGCCCUGCCCCCUCGCUUUUCUCAAUGUACGCAGAGCCUCCCAGUGGGCGGAAUUCUGCAGGGCAGUGCCAUUGAUCGACAGCACCUGAGCACCC
Molecule: long non-coding RNA, 448 nt
Organism: Onychostoma macrolepis
Lineage: Eukaryota; Metazoa; Chordata; Actinopteri; Cypriniformes; Cyprinidae
Exons: 3
Source: RefSeq, a predicted model, not a curated record